Molecule: ribosomal RNA, 370 nt
Filed under: uncultured organism
Description: partial 16S ribosomal RNA
Rfam family: Bacterial small subunit ribosomal RNA
Source: RNAcentral
GGAGGGUGCAAGCGUUAAUCGGAAUUACUGGGCGUAAAGCGCGCGCAGGCGGCUGGGUCAGUCGGAUGUGAAAGCCCCGGGCUUAACCUGGGAAUUGCAUUCGAUACUGCCCGGCUAGAGUAUGGGAGAGGGAAGUGGAAUUUCCGGUGUAGCGGUGAAAUGCGUAGAUAUCGGAAGGAACACCAGUGGCGAAGGCGGCUUCCUGGCCCAAUACUGACGCUCAGGUGCGAAAGCGUGGGGAGCGAACAGGGAUUAGAUACCCUGGUAGUCCACGCUGUAAACGAUGAGAACUAGAUGUUGGGAGGGUUAGCCUCUCAGUGUCGCAGCUAACGCGUUAAGUUCUCCGCCUGGGGAUACGACCGCAAGGUUG